GGGGCUGUGACUCAGUGGUAGACCACCUGCUUUGGAUGCAGAAGGUCCCAGGUUCAAUUCCUGGCAUCUCCA
RNAcentral lists this transfer RNA (72 nucleotides) under Sphaerodactylus townsendi. RNAcentral's name for it is "tRNA-Pro". It matches the Rfam family "tRNA". Rfam says of the family: Transfer RNA (tRNA) molecules are approximately 80 nucleotides in length. Their secondary structure includes four short double-helical elements and three loops (D, anti-codon, and T loops). The record is from RNAcentral. Lineage: Eukaryota; Metazoa; Chordata; Lepidosauria; Squamata; Sphaerodactylidae.